Molecule: non-coding RNA, 97 nt
Organism: Venturia effusa
Lineage: Eukaryota; Fungi; Ascomycota; Dothideomycetes; Venturiales; Venturiaceae
Source: the annotation of a GenBank genome assembly
GGGCAAUUGGUCUAGUGGUAUGAUUUCCCCUUAGCACGUUCGAUGGAAUUCGGACCCAAUCUGGGGAAGGUCCUGGGUUCAAUUCCCAGAUUGUCCA